GAUGAACGCUGGCGGCGUGCCUAAUACAUGCAAGUCGAGCGAACAGAUGAGGAGCUUGCUCCUCUGACGUUAGCGGCGGACGGGUGAGUAACACGUGGAUAACCUACCUAUAAGACUGGGAUAACUUCGGGAAACCGGAGCUAAUACCGGAUAAUAUAUUGAACCGCAUGGUUCAAUAGUGAAAGACGGUUUUGCUGUCACUUAUAGAUGGAUCCGCGCCGCAUUAGCUAGUUGGUAAGGUAACGGCUUACCAAGGCAACGAUGCGUAGCCGACCUGAGAGGGUGAUCGGCCACACUGGAACUGAGACACGGUCCAGACUCCUACGGGAGGCAGCAGUAGGGAAUCUUCCGCAAUGGGCGAAAGCCUGACGGAGCAACGCCGCGUGAGUGAUGAAGGCCUUCGGAUCGUAAAACUCUGUUAUUAGGGAAGAACAAAUGUGUAAGUAACUAUGCACGUCUUGACGGUACCUAAGCAGAAAGCCACGGCUAACUACGU
RNAcentral lists this ribosomal RNA (496 nucleotides) under uncultured bacterium. RNAcentral describes it as "partial 16S ribosomal RNA". It matches the Rfam family "Bacterial small subunit ribosomal RNA", at positions 28 to 506 of the family's 1533-position model. The record is from RNAcentral.